Sciurus carolinensis (gray squirrel) is the source of this 586-nucleotide long non-coding RNA. RefSeq lists it as uncharacterized. The transcript has 3 exons. The record is from RefSeq and is a predicted model, not a curated record. Lineage: Eukaryota; Metazoa; Chordata; Mammalia; Rodentia; Sciuridae.
GUGGAAGUGUCCUUAGAAGAGAAAACAAAGGAAAGAAGCAAGAGGAUGCUGGAGCAAGGAGGCCUGGAAUACCCUAGUGAUCUCUGCAUUUGAGGCCUGGAGUCCCAGAGACAAACAGCUGCUGGGAUGGGACGAAUGUCCAGAUGACUAGUUUGAGAAGCUGGGGAGAAAACAUGGAAAGAGAUGUGAAAGAGAUGUCCUGAGGAAAGGCAAUCUGGUCCCUGAAGUCUAAGUCUUAAAUGGUUCUCAUUUCUAAACUCCACCCCAAACUCAUCAUCAUCCAAUGUCCUAAUAAGCUGCACAGCAAAAAUUCAAAGCUCUUUUAAACAGCGGUAAGCUACAGUCCAAUCUUGCCCAUGGAUAAAGCCUAACUCAACAUGAAGUUGACAAAAAGGGAAAAUAUCAAGCAGCUGUAAUGCAAAUGCAAGAAAUUGUUUCGGGCAAUGACUGAUGUCAGCAGUUGCUACGUGUCACAAGUAACCUUGUACAUGCUUCCUUGGGUACAUUUUACACCUGGAAAAUUCUUUUUAUUUUUUCCUGCUUCAAGUUCAUUUUCACAAACAGCACAGGAAGACACCAGCUCCAU